UGAGCAAUCUGCCCUUCUCUUCGGAAUAAGCGUUGGAAACGACGUCUAAUGCCGAAUACGACCUCCUUUCGCAUGAUCGGAGGUGGAAAGCUCCGGCGGAGAAGGAUGAGCUCGCGGCCUAUCAGCUAGUUGGUGUGGGUAAUGGCCCACCAAGGCGACGACGGGUAGCCGGCCUGAGAGGGUGACCGGCCACACGUGGGACUGAGACACGGCCCAGACCUCCGUACGGGAGCAG
Molecule: ribosomal RNA, 235 nt
Filed under: uncultured bacterium
Lineage: Bacteria
Description: partial 16S ribosomal RNA
Rfam family: Bacterial small subunit ribosomal RNA
Source: RNAcentral